CGACGGCGAGGCGGGAGGUGGCGGCGGCGGUAGUUCCGGCUCCCAUCGCCGGCUAGCUGAAGCAGAGCGCGUGUGGAACUGGAUGCAGGCGAGGCAAAUCUGGCACCUGAGUCUUCUCGAUUCUUAGUAGCAGCUGGAUUGCAGGAGCCAGAGAUGACGAUCUACUGCAAGAUUAAGGGCCUGUUCGGAUGCACUCCGCUCCGCAACUCUGCUCCCCGAGCGGGCGGAGCGGCGCCGAACGAAUCAACUCUGUGGAGCGGCCAGAGUGAAGCGGAGCUGCCUGUAGUGUAUUUUUUCGGAGUUGACAAAUCGAGGCUCCGCGCGCUCCUGAUCCCGCAGGACCUCACCUGCUUGCCCCGACUCCCCUUUGCAGGGAACUCUAGCCGUCGUCCUCCCGCCGCCGCUGCACACAGGGCUGAUCGAAUCCCGUGCGAUGCAUGGACGCAUCCCUCUGCCACUUGUCCGUCGUUGCCAAACCUGCUCGCAGCUCCACGUCAAUGGCGAUAGCUGACAGGCUCCUCGCACCGACGCAUCCCGCCGCCACUGCACCGCCGUCAUCACCGAUGCAUCGACGCCUCCCGCUGCACGUGCCUCCGAGGCUUCUCCUCCCGCCGCUACUGCACCAACGGGCUCCUUCAUUCCUCAGUGAAACCACCGCCCUCAGCUGCUUUUUCUAGUCAGGUUCCUCCCAGGAAUGUAUGCAUAAUUCAGUUGAGGAGUGGAGUUCACAACCGAACGUAUUCCCAGAUUCUGAAACGUGCUAAUAGAGUUGGGAGUUGAGAAGUGAGGAGCAGAGUUUAGAAUCUGGAGGAGUGGAGAGUUGCCGAACAGGCUCUAAGUGUGCAUCUAGCGAGACUAUGCGCCUCAAUUUUUAUUUUUACUUUUUGUGGGGGCUAUGUGCCUCAGUAUUCGAGGCUCUUUCUUCAAACACGAAAGAGCAAGACCGAAACUUCAAA
Long non-coding RNA from Triticum dicoccoides, 956 nucleotides. RefSeq lists it as uncharacterized. The record is from RefSeq and is a predicted model, not a curated record. Lineage: Eukaryota; Viridiplantae; Streptophyta; Magnoliopsida; Poales; Poaceae. The transcript has 2 exons.